UCUCUGAUCGUAUAUCGGUUAGUACACGCGCCUGUCAUCGGGUCCCAUUCCCGGUCCGCGCGAGAGCGGGGUUCGACUCCCCGUCAGAGAG
Molecule: transfer RNA, 91 nt
Filed under: Wolfiporia cocos MD-104 SS10
Lineage: Eukaryota; Fungi; Basidiomycota; Agaricomycetes; Polyporales; Phaeolaceae
Description: tRNA-Asp
Source: RNAcentral